Molecule: transfer RNA, 79 nt
Filed under: Caudoviricetes sp.
Lineage: Duplodnaviria; Heunggongvirae; Uroviricota; Caudoviricetes
Description: tRNA-Arg
Rfam family: tRNA
About the family: Transfer RNA (tRNA) molecules are approximately 80 nucleotides in length. Their secondary structure includes four short double-helical elements and three loops (D, anti-codon, and T loops).
Source: RNAcentral
GGAGCGAUAGCUUAAAAUGGGAAAAGUGCUGGCGGCUACGGUCCACCAGAGAUGCAGGGUUCGAACCCCACUCGCUUCA